UGGGGAAUCAUGGUCAAUGGGCGAAAGCCUGAACCUGCGACGCCGCGUGAGUGAUGAAGGUCGUAAGAUCGUAAAACUCUUUUCAGGGAUCUUAAAGCACAGCUGUCAACAACAGCUGUGUGUGACUCUCCCUGGAAGAAGCCCCAGCCAACUACGUGCCAGCAGCUGCGGUAAUACGUAGGGGGCGAGCGUUAUUCGGAAUUACUGGGUGUAAAGGGUAUGUAGGCGGCCCUUCAAGUCGCGUGUCAAAGUCCAGUGCUCAACGCUGGGUGUGCGCGCGAUACUGACUGGCUUGAGGGCUGGAGAGGUGAGCGGAAUUGCCGGUGUAGUGAUAAAAUACGUAGAGAUCGGGAGGAACACCAGCGGCGCAGGCGGCUCACUGGACAGUUUCUGACGCUAAGAUACGAAAGCGUGGGGAGCAAACA
Molecule: ribosomal RNA, 425 nt
Filed under: uncultured prokaryote
Description: bacterial SSU rRNA
Rfam family: Bacterial small subunit ribosomal RNA
Source: RNAcentral